Molecule: non-coding RNA, 28 nt
Filed under: Mus musculus (house mouse)
Lineage: Eukaryota; Metazoa; Chordata; Mammalia; Rodentia; Muridae
Source: RNAcentral
UUACUUAAACCAUUUGUGCAUGCCCACC